This is a long non-coding RNA of Corvus hawaiiensis (hawaiian crow), 243 nucleotides long. RefSeq lists it as uncharacterized. NCBI's taxonomy places the organism in Eukaryota, Metazoa, Chordata, Aves, Passeriformes, Corvidae. The record is from RefSeq and is a predicted model, not a curated record. The transcript has 2 exons.
CAAACUACUGUUAGGAACUGGCUUUAAAUAAGAGGAAAAAAAACAAAAAUAGAAAACAAGGAAAAAAAAAAAGAUUUAAGUGAACGGACUUCAAAACAAGUUAUAGGAGAGACGUUUUUCUGAACUUCCAAAGUUCUGUGAUUUCAGAAAACUUUGUUGCUUUGAAUGAUCUGUGACCUGUCAGGGAGAGAAGAGAGAUUGUUGUGAGCACAGGACAAAAAUAAAAACGGCUUAUUCACUGUC